GACGUGAGGCUCGUUGCUAGGGGCGGAGGCGCAGGAGACGGUGGAGCUCGGAGACUACGGCCGCCCUCCGGCUCCUCGUCCCAGCCGGCCUCAGCUCCAACCCCGCCAGCCCACCGAGAUUAAGAAGUGGCUGCCUGAACUAUUAAUAUUUUUCAGAAGAUACACAUUACAAAUCAUUGAAUACGGCAGUUCACCAAGAAGAUCCUAUUCAUUUGCGGGGAACACAACUUCCAGCAGCCACAAGGGAUGCUGCUACUCAGAUGCCAACCGAAACGAGUACCUCCGCAGAAGGUUUUUUGUAGGUUCUGUGCGGGGAUGGGGAAACUACAAAGCAAACUCAAACAUGGCACUUAUAAAUACAGCAGGCCCGAUGGAAUUAUAGAAGAGAGAAUUCAAACUAAAGUUUUUCAAGAGUAUAGCCCAGCUCAUGUGGAUACCGUCUCUGCUGUUGCUGCUCUGAACUCAGACCUUUGUGUCUCCGGAGGAAAAGAUAAGACAGUUGUGGCCUAUAAUUGGAAAACUGGAAAUGUGGUGAAAAGGUUCAAAGGACAUGAACGUGAAAUCACCAAGGUAGCCUGUAUUCCCCAAUCAAACCAGUUCUUCAGUGCCUCUCGGGACAGGAUGGUCAUGAUGUGGGACUUGCAUGGUUCCUCACAACCGAGGCAGCAGUUGUCUGGCCAUGCCAUGGUGGUCACUGGAUUGGCUGUGGGUCCAGACUUGUCACAGCUGUGCACUGGCUCUCGGGACAACACCCUGCUUCUGUGGGAUGUGGGGACCGGACAGUGUGUGGAGAGAGCAUCUAUCUCCAGGAAUGUGGUCACUCACCUGUGCUGGGUUCCCAGAGAGCCAUAUAUACUACAGACCUCUGAGGAUAAAACCAUCAGAUUAUGGGACAGUCGGGGGCUGCAGGUAGCUCAUAUGUUUCCCGCAAAGCAGCACAUUCAGACCUACUGUGAAGUCAGUGUGGAUGGACAUAAGUGUAUCUCCUGCAGCAGCGGCUUUGGAGGGGAAGGCUGUGAAGCCACGUUGUGGGAUCUAAGACAGACACGGAAAAGAAUAUGUGAAUAUAAGGGCCAUUUCCAGACCGUUGCAUCCUGUGUCUUCCUACCAAGAGCAUUGGGCUUGAUGCCUAUAAUUGCUACCUCAUCACAUGAUUGCAAGGUGAAGAUUUGGAACCAAGAUACUGGAGGUAACCGGUGUGACCAGCAACUGGUGUAUCCUUCUAGAGCCAUUUCAUGCAUAUACAAGCAAAUACGUGCUUUUUUCUACUAUCACUUUUACAAUCAAAAGACAAUAAGACUACCUUCAUUUUGAAGAAAAGGCUGUAGAAGACUAUUUUACGAUGUAGAAGAUAAGUGAAAAAAGAGGCUAUAAAACAGUACAUAGAGUAUGACAUGUUAUAACUUAUGAAGAAUGUGUUUUUCUAUAUUUCAAAUAUAAAGAGACAGAAAAGUGAUAUAUCCAAAUGUGUGGGUGAUUAUCUCUGUGCACAGGAUUUCAGGGAAACUAGGUGGCUAGAAGAAAGUUUUCAUUGCAAAAUCAAAUCUUUCACAUGCUGAACCACAUGAAUGUAUUACCUGUGAAGGAAAAUAAAGAUCUUAGAACCAAGCUCCCCCUCCAACUCCUUUUGCAAAAGAGAAGGUAAAGGUCUCAGGCACCUGUGAAGGACUUGCCCACAGAUCAUUG
Molecule: non-coding RNA, 1686 nt
Organism: Microcebus murinus (gray mouse lemur)
Lineage: Eukaryota; Metazoa; Chordata; Mammalia; Primates; Cheirogaleidae
Source: RefSeq, a predicted model, not a curated record